Molecule: unclassified non-coding RNA, 575 nt
Filed under: Aspergillus flavus
Lineage: Eukaryota; Fungi; Ascomycota; Eurotiomycetes; Eurotiales; Aspergillaceae
Description: sequence contains 18S rRNA gene, ITS1, 5.8S rRNA gene, ITS2, 28S rRNA gene
Rfam family: 5.8S ribosomal RNA (bases 224-377)
Source: RNAcentral
GUAACAAGGUUUCCGUAGGUGAACCUGCGGAAGGAUCAUUACCGAGUGUAGGGUUCCUAGCGAGCCCAACCUCCCACCCGUGUUUACUGUACCUUAGUUGCUUCGGCGGGCCCGCCAUUCAUGGCCGCCGGGGGCUCUCAGCCCCGGGCCCGCGCCCGCCGGAGACACCACGAACUCUGUCUGAUCUAGUGAAGUCUGAGUUGAUUGUAUCGCAAUCAGUUAAAACUUUCAACAAUGGAUCUCUUGGUUCCGGCAUCGAUGAAGAACGCAGCGAAAUGCGAUAACUAGUGUGAAUUGCAGAAUUCCGUGAAUCAUCGAGUCUUUGAACGCACAUUGCGCCCCCUGGUAUUCCGGGGGGCAUGCCUGUCCGAGCGUCAUUGCUGCCCAUCAAGCACGGCUUGUGUGUUGGGUCGUCGUCCCCUCUCCGGGGGGGACGGGCCCCAAAGGCAGCGGCGGCACCGCGUCCGAUCCUCGAGCGUAUGGGGCUUUGUCACCCGCUCUGUAGGCCCGGCCGGCGCUUGCCGAACGCAAAUCAAUCUUUUUCCAGGUUGACCUCGGAUCAGGUAGGGAUACCC